GGGACUAUAGUUAAAAAUAACAUUUGGGUUGCAUUCAAAAAGUGCUGCAUAGCAGCUAGCCUCA
This 64-nucleotide transfer RNA is filed under the name Coptotermes acinaciformis acinaciformis. RNAcentral's name for it is "tRNA-Ala". The record is from RNAcentral. Lineage: Eukaryota; Metazoa; Arthropoda; Insecta; Blattodea; Rhinotermitidae. RNAcentral also lists the same sequence under 1 other name.